UCGGGUAAGUUCCGACCUGCACGAAUGGCGUAAUGAUGGCCAGGCUGUCUCCACCCGAGACUCAGUGAAAUUGAACUCGCUGUGAAGAUGCAGUGUACCCGCGGCAAGACGGAAAGACCCCGUGAACCUUUACUAUAGCUUGACACUGAACAUUGAGCCUUGAUGUGUAGGAUAGGUGGGAGGCUUUGAAGUGUGGACGCCAGUCUGCAUGGAGCCGACCUUGAAAUACCACCCUUUAAUGUUUGAUGUUCUAACGUUGGCCCGUAAUCCGGGUUGCGGACAGUGUCUGGUGGGUAGUUUGACUGGGGCGGUCUCCUCCUAAAGAGUAACGGAGGAGCACGAAGGUUGGCUAAUCCUGGUCGGACAUCAGGAGGUUAGUGCAAUGGCAUAAGCCAGCUUGACUGCGAGCGUGACGGCGCGAGCAGGUGCGAAAGCAGGUCAUAGUGAUCCGGUGGUUCUGAAUGGAAGGGCCAUCGCUCAACGGAUAAAAGGUACUCCGGGGAUAACAGGCUGAUACCGCCCAAGAGUUCAUAUCGACGGCGGUGUUUGGCACCUCGAUGUCGGCUCAUCACAUCCUGGGGCUGAAGUAGGUCCCAAGGGUAUGGCUGUUCGCCAUUUAAAGUGGUACGCGAGCUGGGUUUAGAACGUCGUGAGACAGUUCGGUCCCUAUCUGCCGUGGGCGCUGGAGAACUGAGGGGGGCUGCUCCUAGUACGAGAGGACCGGAGUGGACGCAUCACUGGUGUUCGGGUUGUCAUGCCAAUGGCACUGCCCGGUAGCUAAAUGCGGAAGAGAUAAGUGCUGAAAGCAUCUAAGCACGAAACUUGCCCCGAGAUGAGUUCUCCCUGAGACUUAGAGUCUCCUGAAGGAACGUUGAAGACGACGACGUUGAUAGGCCGGGUGUGUAAGCGCAGCGAUGCGUUGAGCUAACCGGUACUAAUGAACCGUGAGGCUUAACCUUACAACGCCGAAG
Molecule: ribosomal RNA, 971 nt
Filed under: Escherichia coli
Lineage: Bacteria; Pseudomonadati; Pseudomonadota; Gammaproteobacteria; Enterobacterales; Enterobacteriaceae
Description: partial 23S ribosomal RNA
Rfam family: Bacterial large subunit ribosomal RNA
Source: RNAcentral